Molecule: long non-coding RNA, 1068 nt
Organism: Anolis carolinensis (green anole)
Lineage: Eukaryota; Metazoa; Chordata; Lepidosauria; Squamata; Anolidae
Exons: 2
Source: RefSeq, a predicted model, not a curated record
CCUUCCUCACCCAAAGCUGCGGGGGUUGGUUGAACGUUACGGCAAGCGCCUCUGUCUUCUGUCCCUCACCCGGAUUGGCUCGCCGUGGUUUUGGAAGCGCUUGGGUCCGCUCAGAGAUAGGUUUGGGCUUGCUGUCUGAAGAUUGUCCAAAGCUUCAAGGAUAUUAUUGGAAGUGGGGAACGUUUGGUGGUUCCUGAUAAAGUGCAAUCAUGUUUUUGCUUUCAUAGUUUUCAGUGCCCAGAUUUCAAAAAGAGAAAAAAUGUUAAUGCUCUAGAGGAAGGCUAUUCAGGGAAGUCAUGACUCUGAAUCUGCAAUACCUGAAGAAGGUGAAGAUAGGGUGACUUGGAAGUCUCUCAUUCAUGGGAUUGUCAUAGAUCAGUCACCUUUAUGGCGGUUAACAACAACAAAAACCAUAUCAUGGAUCCUUUGCUGACCACCCUCUCAAUUUAUGUUUGGACUGUUCCUGUUCACUUCUCUAGCAGUUGUCUGUCUUCUAUUAUGGAGACACUGACUGAUCUGGCCAAGCCAUAUUUCAGCUUUGAUGUCACCUGGUUGGAUUUAUCAGCUUGUCCUAUGAAGUUUACUUGCACUUUUUAACCUUUGUUCUUUGCUUGUAACACAUUUGUAACUUUGGAUGUGUCUUCUCAGAAAUAUCCACAGGUCUCAAAGAUGUGUACAGGGAAUCAGCAAAUGUACAGCAAAUACAUUUGCAAAAUGCUGCUGACUAGCCUCAGCAAAGUUGUCAAAAUGUACACUAGCCAACAACAGAAGCCUUAUGUGUCAUGUUCUGGGUACCGAAAAUAGAAUAAAUAAUAACUUGAGAUCCCUUUCUUAUCACACCUCAUAUGACUUGGUGAAUUCAUUCUGAUUUAAUGUAUCCUUAUAACACAUUACAAAUUAUACACACACAAUGUUAACUCACUACUUCGCGGUUUGCUUUUCAUGGACUCGCUGUUUUGUGGUUUUUAAAUAAACACUACAAUAAUAUUAUAAAUCAUUGAAAAAUUAUGAUUUACAGUAGCGGUGGUCUCAGUCGGCGGGGCAGAGAAGGAGCCCAAACAGCAGCAG